This 2414-nucleotide long non-coding RNA is filed under the name Zea mays. Its description in RNAcentral is "long non-coding RNA (ZMAY_LNC002487)". The record is from RNAcentral. Lineage: Eukaryota; Viridiplantae; Streptophyta; Magnoliopsida; Poales; Poaceae.
UCGGUUGAAGCAAAAAUUCAAGGAAUCCUCUCCACCUCUCCCCAAAUUAGUGGUGCAUGGUGAAUCAGUAGCCAUUUGCGACCUUAUAGCCCCAACAUGACCUCCUAAUUCCACCAGAGCCUGUCGUGACACCGGUUUCCCCCUUCUCAGACACCGGCGAGCAAGAAUUCUCCGCGCUCCGUGGCCAGCCGUUCCCAGGUCUGCUCCUGCUCUCCUUGAUCAUGUUUUAGCACCCAUGCAUGCUCGUGAUACUCAUUGGCUCAACCCUUUAUGCUUGACCACACUCAAUCAACCAGAACGCUUGGAUUUGUAUUCGGUAUUCACCGUCGCCGUGGUCGGGCUAGGCCAGGGCCAUAUUAACUCAAUUUAGGCUUGUUCUAUGAUCGCCUCGGGUCAGUAAUGCUUGCCCAUUGGUUAAUUUAGGCAGCCAACGCCGGUCAUGGCCAGUCCGAGCAACAAGGUGGCCGGCGGCGAGUGCAUCGUGGCCAGGGUCUGUUCUGGAGAAGAAAUAGAAAAUAGAGGACCUUAGUGUAAAUGUUAGUGAGACGCGUGAAUAGUGCCAAGGACUGUUGUUCUUAUUUUUGAACCAGUAGGGACCUUUCUGUAAAACCAACUGCGCGGGCGCGCGCGGGGGCAUUUCGCCUAUCGUGGGCCGUCUCGGGCUGAAUUCAGCCCAGUACUGUUGGUAACUUUUCCUUUUUCUUUUUCUGAGAAAGUUUAGAAAUCCAUAAAGAAUUAGAGAAAAAUAAUAAAAAUAUGAGUCCAAUUUUUUUGAACUUCUAAAUUUUCAUAGUAUUUAAGAAAAAUAAUUUUAGGAUUUUUGGUCCAAACAAGGAAUUAUCUAGUAUUUAAAAGGGCUUAAACCUAUACCUCUGGAAUUUUAGAAAUUAAUUAAUAACUCCAAAAAUCACUAAACUUUAUGGAUAAGCUUAAAAUACUAUUUAGAAACCUUGGGUGAAGUUUGACUUGAUUUGGACAAUGUUUGAUACCUAAACCCCAAAACCCUAAUCUUCUAAGUAGUGUUUCCCUUUGAAAUAGAAUAUUGACUCCAAAAACCCUAGUUUCCUGGAGUACCGUGAAGGAAAAUUGUAUUCAAGACCUAAUAUGUUGUACCUUUAUUAUCAUUGCAUUUUCAUAAGCAUUACAUGAGCAUUCAUGAUUAUAUAUGGUUAUAUAUAUAGAAAACGAAGAAGAAGUAGUGGUUGAAGAAGGAGCUGCACCACCACCACUAGAAGAUCCACCUGCCGGGAACUGCUUUUAUUUCGAUAUUUGUGGAGCAAAUCUUGACUCUCCUAUAACACAAGGCAAGCCCCGAUGCAUUUGCCACCUCCUUGCUAUUUUAAAAUCUUUCUCACUUGCUUGAUGCAUUAGGUGAUAGGAGUUGUGUGCUAAAACAAUUGAUGCAUUUCCUUCCUUGGAAAAUUUAUUACAUUUCCUUGAUGACCUGGUUUAUGAAAAGGUUUUUCUUAUGCUUAGCCUUGUUCUAGAAAACAAAAUGUUUUGUUUUGACAAAAGAUGAAGCUUCAAGUGGGUUGGGAGGUUUUCAAAAAUAAAACUGGAUGGUGGAUCCAUCAUGGCUAUCAUGGGUUCAACAUCGAAAAAGAUGUACCUCUGUCAGGUACCAAACUUUGGGUUGAAAUGAUAAAGUUGAGACCAGGCGAGUGACUUGCACGAGAAGAGAGUCUCGGUGUAGUGUCUCUGUCUACGUCGAUUAAGGACCAUCUCGAUGUAGGCUUGAUGAUUGAGGACCUUUUAACUGGUCACAUGCCUCAUCAUGGGUAAGCUUUGCCUCGGGCAGACUAAUACCAGAAUAAGACAACACACAAUGGGAGUGGAGAGAUGGCGAGAGUAGUGUGUACCCUCCGUGCCAAGAGGCUGGACGGUGGUGUAUCUGUGCUCUCGGUUGGCGUGAACUUGAUCUGGUUUUAAGAACCCCGGUGGCGAGUUGACAUAUGCAAGGGUUAAGUGCUACAUAUGUCGUGUGAUUGGAGAUCCCCAGCUGGGUAUUAAUCAAUUUAGAUCGCUGUUACUUCUCGGACAUGAAGACUUGGUCACUUCCCUACACGUAGCAUUCCAGUGAACAAGAAAGGUUCAUAAAAGGAUGGCUAGUAUAGGCCAAGUGCUUGAACCAAGGUAGAAAGAACUCUAGAAUUAGGUAAUGACUUAACUUGCUAAUAAAACUGGAUUUUUAAGGAUCCACUAUUAGUAAGCAUUUUUGCAAACAGAGUCUUGAUUCUUGAUUCAGCCUUACCUUGACUCCCUCAAGCCAACAUAUCCUUGAGAGUCUUUUAUUUUGACGGGUAAGACUUGCGAAAGUACACUUUUGUUGUAGGUGAGGAAGCAGCAAACUUUUGUUGCUUUUGUUCUAAGGUGGUACCGAAAGAAGAAUCUCAAGAGUGAAGCCUCGAGAGGAA